RNAcentral lists this ribosomal RNA (471 nucleotides) under uncultured bacterium. RNAcentral's name for it is "bacterial SSU rRNA". It matches the Rfam family "Bacterial small subunit ribosomal RNA", at positions 29 to 506 of the family's 1533-position model. The record is from RNAcentral.
ACGAACGCUGGCGGCGUGCUUAACACAUGCAAGUCGAGCGGUAAGGCCCUUCGGGGUACACGAGCGGCGAACGGGUGAGUAACACGUGGGUGACCUGCCCUCCACUCUGGGAUAAGCCUGGGAAACCGGGUCUAAUACCGGAUAGGACUCCUGGAUGCAUGUCCGGGGGUGGAAAGUUUUUUCGGUGGGGGAUGGGCCCGCGGUCUAUCAGCUUGUUGGUGGGGUGAUGGCCUACCAAGGCGACGACGGAUAGCCGGCCUGAGAGGGUGAUCGGCCACACUGGGACUGAGACACGGCCCAGACUCCUACGGGAGGCAGCAGUGGGGAAUCUUGCGCAAUGGGCGGAAGCCUGACGCAGCAACGCCGCGUGGGGGAUGACGGCCUUCGGGUUGUAAACCUCUUUCGCGAUCGACGAAGGUCCGCUUUCUGUGGGCUGACGGUAGGUCGAGAAGAAGCACCGGCCAACUACGU